Molecule: unclassified non-coding RNA, 377 nt
Filed under: soil metagenome
Description: partial contains 5.8S ribosomal RNA, internal transcribed spacer 2, and large subunit ribosomal RNA
Rfam family: 5.8S ribosomal RNA (bases 1-120)
Source: RNAcentral
GAUGAAGAACGCAGUGAAAUGCGAUAAGUAAUGUGAAUUGCAGAAUUCAGUGAAUCAUCGAAUCUUUGAACGCAUCUUGCGCUCCUUGGUAUUCUGAGGAGCAUGCCUGUUUGAGUGUCAUUAAAUUCUCAACCGCACUGACUUUGAAUUGGUGUGGCUUGGAUUUGGGGGGAAAAUUGUUGUGGGCUUUUUUGUAUAGUCUGCUCCCCUGAAAUUGAUUAGCGGUACCUUUGUGGAACUGUCUACAGGUGUGAUAAUUAUCUACAUCCUAGACAUCUGCUGGAAUGCUGCUUUCUAAACCUUACUUGUAUUGACAAUCUUGACCUCAAAUCAGGUAGGACUACCCGCUGAACUUAAGCAUAUCAAUAAGCGGAGGA